CCUACGGGGGACAGCAGUGAGGAAUAUUGGACAAUGGGCGCGAGCCUGAACCAGCCAAGUAGCGUGAAGGAUGAAGGCCCUACGGGUGGUAAACGUCUUUUAUAAAGGAAUAAAGUGAGGCACGUGUGCCUUUUUGUAUGUACGUUAUGAAUAAGGAUCGGAUAACUCCGUGCCAGCAGCCGCGGUAAUACGGAGGAUCCGAGCGUUAUCCGGAUUUAUUGGGUUUAAAGGGAGCGUAGCUGGGUUGUUAAGUCAGUUGUGAAAGUUUGCGGCUCAACCGUAAAAUUGCCAUUGAUACUGGCAGUCUUGAGUACAGUUGAGGUAGGCGGAAUUCCUGUUGUAGCGGU
Molecule: ribosomal RNA, 347 nt
Filed under: uncultured bacterium
Lineage: Bacteria
Description: partial 16S ribosomal RNA
Rfam family: Bacterial small subunit ribosomal RNA
Source: RNAcentral